RNAcentral lists this ribosomal RNA (260 nucleotides) under uncultured bacterium. Its description in RNAcentral is "partial 16S ribosomal RNA". It matches the Rfam family "Bacterial small subunit ribosomal RNA", at positions 793 to 1055 of the family's 1533-position model. The record is from RNAcentral.
GUCCACGCCGUAAACGAUGAGCACUAGGUGUCGGGGUCGCAAGACUUCGGUGCCGCAGUUAACGCAUUAAGUGCUCCGCCUGGGGAGUACGCACGCAAGUGUGAAACUCAAAGGAAUUGACGGGGACCCGCACAAGCAGCGGAGCAUGUGGUUUAAUUCGAAGCAACGCGAAGAACCUUACCAGGACUUGACAUCCCUCUGACAGGAACUUAACCGUUCCCUUCUUCGGACAGAGGAGACAGGUGGUGCAUGGUUGUCGU